Molecule: long non-coding RNA, 1222 nt
Organism: Astatotilapia calliptera (eastern happy)
Lineage: Eukaryota; Metazoa; Chordata; Actinopteri; Cichliformes; Cichlidae
Source: Ensembl
CAAACAGGUUUUGCAGCUGUUUGAGCUAAGAUUUUAAAGUUAUUCACAUAAUGAAAACCUAUACUUUGUGUCGUGCGAGUUCCCCAUUCAAAUGCAUGUAAUCGUCAGAAACGCACUGUCUUGGCGAAAUAAAGCGUUUUUGCACAACUUCAUAUAAAUCGCUGUAACUUUUGAUAGAAGACUCAGACAAACAUGUUUAUGGCCUUAUAUUAUAGAACUCAAGGUCUCCGUGCUGGGAAAACAGGUUUUGCAGCUGUUUGAGCUAAGAUUUCCAAGUUAUUCACAUAAUGAAAACCUAUACUUUGUUUCGGUCGAGUUCCCCAUUCAAAUGCAUGUAACAGUGAGAAACGCACUGUCUUGGCGAAAGAAAGCGUUUUUGUACAACUUCAUAUAAAUAGCUGUAACUUUUGAUAGAAGACUCGGAUACACAUGUUUAUGGCUUUAUCUUAUAGAACUCAAGGUCUCCGUGCUGGGAAAACAGGUUUUGCAGCUGUUUGAGCUAAGAUUUCCAAGUUAUUCACAUAAUGAAAACCUAUACUUUGUUUCGGUCGAGUUCCCCAUUCAAAUGCAUGUAACAGUGAGAAACGCACUGUCUUGGCGAAAGAAAGCGUUUUUGUACAACUUCAUAUAAAUAGCUGUAACUUUUGAUAGAAGACUCGGAUACACAUGUUUAUGGCUUUAUCUUAUAGAACUCAAGGUUCCCGUGCUGGGAAAACAGGUUUUGCAGCUGUUUGAGCUAAGAUUUCCAAGUUAUUCACAUAAUGAAAACCUAUACUUUGUUUCGGUCGAGUUCCCCAUUCAAAUGCAUGUAACAGUGAGAAACGCACUGUCUUGGCGAAAGAAAGCGUUUUUGUACAACUUCAUAGAAAUAGCUGUAACUUUUGAUAGAAGACUCAGACAAACAUGUUUAUGGCUUUAUCUUAUAGAACUCAAGGUCUCCGUGCUGGGCAAACAGGUUUUGCAGCUGUUUGAGCUAAGAUUUCCAAGUUAUUCACAUAAUGAAAACCUAUACUUUGUUUCGGUCGAGUUCCCCAUUCAAAUGCAUGUAACAGUGAGAAACGCACUGUCUUGGCGAAAGAAAGCGUUUUUGUACAACUUCAUAUAAAUAGCUGUAACUUUUGAUAGAAGACUCAGACAAACAUGUUUAUGGCUUUAUCUUAUAGAACUCAAGGUUCCCGUGCUGGGAAAACAGGUUUUGCAGCUGUUUGAGCUAAGAUUUCCA